UUGACCUCCCUGGGGACUUUAUUCUCUUGUCUUUAGCAACAAAAUGGGUACAGCAUGGCAGUACAAGCUUCCCUGUGCUAUUUUCCCAAAUGGCCCUAGAAAGUCUAUCUGUAGUAGCGAGAGUAAUUCAGUCUCCAUGCCCCAUUCAGUACUUGCCAACA
RNAcentral lists this small RNA (161 nucleotides) under Gopherus agassizii (Agassiz's desert tortoise). RNAcentral describes it as "TUC338 (ENSGAGG00000018232.1)". The record is from RNAcentral. Lineage: Eukaryota; Metazoa; Chordata; Testudines; Testudinidae.